RNAcentral lists this long non-coding RNA (233 nucleotides) under Erythranthe guttata (spotted monkey flower). Its description in RNAcentral is "long non-coding RNA (EGUT_LNC003747)". The record is from RNAcentral. Lineage: Eukaryota; Viridiplantae; Streptophyta; Magnoliopsida; Lamiales; Phrymaceae.
UGAUUUCUCACUAACACUCUGUUUUUUCCCCCUUUAGCCAGAUCAAAGAAACCCGGCCCGGCCCGAAAACCCUCACCAUUUCUUCAUCAUCUUCGCCAUUUAGAACCAGAAAAAAAUAUUCGUUGGGACCAGAACCGGAAAUUAAAGAGGGGAAAAAGGACAAAAAAAACUUUGCACUAAAUUUCACAAACCGACGUGCCCUUUUGUGUGUAGCCAUUUUGUGCUGCAGUGUU